Molecule: non-coding RNA, 626 nt
Organism: Paramuricea clavata
Lineage: Eukaryota; Metazoa; Cnidaria; Anthozoa; Malacalcyonacea; Plexauridae
Source: the annotation of a GenBank genome assembly
AACCAGGGGCGGAUCCAGCUCCUGAACUGACUGAUGCAUACAUAAGAACUCGCAUUUGUCGGGGGGUCCGGGGGUAUCCUCCCCCGGGAAAUUUUGAAAUCUAGAACCUCGGAAAUGCGAUUUCCUGCGUUCUGAGCAAACUCUUUUGUUCCAAUUCAUACAUCAGAGUCACAAAUUUAUUUGCUGCAUUUUUGGAAAGCACGUAAAAAACUUGAACCUAUAUAUAUAUCGCAAAAACAACAUAAUUUUUCCAUAUAAGAAAAAAUAUUUGCUUGUACAAGUGUAAUAGCAGCAGCGGUACAUAAAUCUCUAUUAAAAAAUAGUCAGUACUUACUACUGUGCUUCUUGUAGCCUUAACUUUUCUAUUGAAAAACAUUUCGGCAAAAAUCACGACAACGCAAAUACACACAUACGUGUAACAAAGGUGUAUACAGUGUGAUCCACUAGUUGCAAUGUUGGACUCAAAAGACAAUGUUAUUAGGUUUCUUAACCACCUUCCCUGAGGCUUAUUCAUUUCCACUAAUUUGCAAUGUUCCAUGAGUAAAUUUUUUAGCAUUAGAAUGGUGCAUAAAGGUAUUUUGUGCUCUAGUUGGUAAACUUAUUUAUAUACAACUCUGUCUUAUGCU